Molecule: long non-coding RNA, 3158 nt
Organism: Passer domesticus (house sparrow)
Lineage: Eukaryota; Metazoa; Chordata; Aves; Passeriformes; Passeridae
Exons: 7
Source: RefSeq, a predicted model, not a curated record
UGACCAGGGAGCUUCCUGUCUGCUUCUGGACUUGGAUUCCCUCCUCCUGCCCACCUCCCAGUAUGCCCCUUUUCCCUCAGAGCAGUAGCAGAUGUUAAUCUGAAUUUAAGAAGUUUUUUUCAGUAAAUUCAGGUGUACGUGGACAUCUGUAAAGGCGUUUGUGCUGUCAGUGAUCCCAGGUAGCUGUGCAGUGGUUGGCUUCACCCACAUUUGAGUUGUUUGAUGCCCUUUCCAAAAACUGGUGUAAAGGUUUGAGCCCUUAAAAGACUUGGGGUGUUUUUGUUGCAAUAUACUUCUACCACUGCUAAUACCUCAGUAAACUCCCUGAGCAAGCACACCUGAAAGCAAGGCUGUGAACUGGGACAGAAGCUUGUCUGUCUUUGGAGGGGUUUUCUUGCAGUGCUUCAGAGAACAGUGCUGCACUCACCCGGCUCUUGAGGCAUUCCUGGACAGGGAGCCAUGGCUGCGUGUCCUUGGUGCCUGCUGAAUGCAUGCUGCUUGCAUGGGCAAGGAGCAAGGGCUGCUUUUUGCUGUCACUGUUGGACUCUGUUCACAUGGGACAGAUCAGUGUACAGAAGGGUCAGACAGUCCUUAAUAAGCAAACCUAGCUUCCUUCUCAUUUUGUGAGUAAAGAUGUGCAUACCUAUCGUUCCUCUGCUGGUUACACCUUUCCUGAGCCAGUAAUCCUCGUUUGCUGCAGGUCUGGCUUUGUCCAUGACUCUGGAGUCGCUCAGCUGAGACAGCUACGCCUGUGAGUGUCAGAGGGAAACAGCUAUUGUUUGCUUUCCCUAGAGGCCCACAGCCAAGGAAGCAGGAUUUGUGCCUUCUUCAGCCAAAGAAGACCUCAGAGGUAGCACAUUCCAAGUCCAAAGUAGAAAAAUUAUUUCAAAAUGCAUUUUCCUAGUAAGGACUGUCAGUGCAUCCUUUUUGAGAAAGAACCAGUUUUCAUUUAUAGGCUUUUUGUGUCAUUAAAAUAUAUCUUUUUGCAUAUGGUUCAGAAAAAUAGCCAAUUCUCAGCUCAGCAUUUUUUGACUGAAAUAAUGCAGUCUGUUCUCUUUGCAUACUGGGACAAGAAGCAAAGCUAAAUAGUCUGGGAGUCUGAUCUAAUCCAGCAUUUCCAAUAUGUUUUAAUCUAGAUGUGAUACCCUCAUUCCAGCACCAUGCACCCAAAGUCAGAGAACACUGUCAUGGCUUCUAACUGCCUUGGGGUUCCUGCCUUUUGAUGCUGUGUUCCAGAUCUUGGAAAAUAGUUUCCUUCUUUGGGUGUGUUUUUUCCUUACACUGCUGCAGUGAAUUUGUUUGUGGGCAUCAGACAGCAGUUGGAGGCUGGAUUGGUUCAUGGGUGGUGCUGGAAACCUGCUGUUCUUCCAGAGGAUAAAAAAAUGCUGCUGAUGUUCUGCCAUUAGUUACAUUUGUUUUGCUUAGGAAAGGAAAUAUUUUCAGCGCUGCAGGUAACCAGUUAAAAAAAAGAGUGGAAAUAGAAAUUACUUUUAGAAGUUUAAAGUGAGGAUAUAUAUUAAAAUGUCUCUAUAAGAGCAUCCACAGCUCCUGUCAGUGCAGGGUCAUAGCAUCUCAGCAAAAUCUCAGACAGGCCAAUGUCUUGACAGGUCUCCCUUCCUCUCCUUGCAUCCCUGCUGGGAUGGUAAUGUGAAUGGUUGGUGAUUGAACAGGGGUUGGGCCUGGUAGCCGUCCCAGGUUUUACACAUAAGACUGUCCUUUUCUUGCGUUGUUUGCCCUCACAUUUCUAAUUAGUGUCAUUUAUGCUAAGAAAUUAUUGGAGGUGCACAUAGCAAAUGCAGGUGAAGAGUUUCAAAUGAAACUUCCAAGUGUAAUUGGGGUAGGUACAGAGUUAGUGUGGCUCCCAUUGAUACUUGUCUGCAUUGCUUUCGUAUCUGGCUCCUUGCAGUUAAAAGGCACUUCCCUGCUUUAUGCCUGGGGAUGAUUACUGUUGGGGAUGAAAGGCAGACACCUCCUGGGUGGAGCAGAGCACAGUAAAACCAAACCAGGGCUUAGGGCAACAAACGUUCUGUCAGGUCUCGGUCCCCCUCGUUUAUGAUGAAAGCUUUUCAAAGACAUGCACAGUAGUGACGUGUGUCGAUCCUGUGAGACGUUCCAGGGAAGCACUAUAGCAGGUUGCCUGGUAAAGACAGCAGCAGCAGUUGGGAUUUCUCUGGAAAGAGGUGUGAGCUGCAGUGUACAAAGGAGGCACUGAGCCAGGCUUGGGAAGCCGACCUCCCUGUUCAUAUUGUCUUCCUGAUGCAAUCCUUCCUCCCGGCGCUGCUGCGACCCAAGUGUGGCUGCCUACUAGUCUGAGCCAUAUUCCUUAGAAAGGGCCAGCUGGCAGAGUUUAGCCCCCAGAAGAGAGAGCCCAGGUGAAGAUCUCAGUCAGCUCUGGCCUUUCUCAGGGAUGUCUCCUGCAGCCCUGUGGGAUUUUUGUACGGAUUGGCUUGGGAUAUGCAUGGCUUUAAAAUCAAAGAGCCACUGAAAGGAGAACUCCAGAAAAAGGCACCGACUGCCAAGAUCAAAGUACAGGCACCAUUAGGGGCAGGAUCCUGGGCUUCUCUUUUGGCCUCAGAACUGUGCUUCUAAGGGACUCCAGCACUCAAAUGAGAGCCACGUAAAUAAAACAGGGCAGAACUGGGCCCAUGCUGAAGACUCCUGAAAAUGCUGCUGAGCAGCUGUGGAUCUGGUGCCAUCACCUCCUGUGAACUCACUGAUGUCUCACCAUUGUAAGAGACAGCAAGAUCCGGCAGCUCUGCUCACCUCCAGUGUAUGUGUGCUCCCUGCUGCUUCAGCCAUUCUGUUCACCCAAAAGUAACAGCAUGGAUAAAUCCUGAAGCCAAUUUCAUCUGUCCAAGUGGGAGCACAGAACUAAGAACUGUAUCUCUGAAGGGCUGCAAGUUCUCCAGUUCCUCAUUUGAAAACACUCCAACACAGGUGAGAGCACGUGGUCCAAGGGAAAAAAGACCUUUACCAGUGUUCCAAACACUGACAUUUCAGUGGAAUCCUGACAUGAGUGUUGUUAGAAGCAUUUCUGCAUUGCUAGAGACCCUGUUACUUGUUUUGGAACAAGGGGGAUUGAAGUGCACUGCAGUGCCUCCAAAAGUCAAAACCAAUUGAUUGUAGAGGCACACGUAUGUGCUCCCUCUUACCUGCUC